UAGGGAAUCUUCCACAAAUGGGCGCAGCCUGAUGGAGCAACGCCGCGUGAGUGAAGAAGGUCUUCGGAUCGUAAAACUCUGUUGUUAGAGAAGAACAUGCGAGAGAGUAACUGUUCUUGUAUUGACGGUAUCUAACCAGAAAGCCACGGCUAACUACGUGCCAG
RNAcentral lists this ribosomal RNA (164 nucleotides) under uncultured bacterium. Its description in RNAcentral is "partial 16S rRNA". It matches the Rfam family "Bacterial small subunit ribosomal RNA", at positions 355 to 511 of the family's 1533-position model. The record is from RNAcentral.